RNAcentral lists this ribosomal RNA (112 nucleotides) under uncultured eukaryote. RNAcentral describes it as "partial small subunit ribosomal RNA". It matches the Rfam family "Eukaryotic small subunit ribosomal RNA", at positions 1676 to 1785 of the family's 1831-position model. The record is from RNAcentral.
UCGCUACUACCGAUUGAAUGUCUUAGUGAGCUUUGGGGACUGAGCGCACUGUGUGGUUCGCUACACUGAGCGUUUGUAAACCACCGCAAACUUGAACAUUUAGAGGAAGUAA